Molecule: small nuclear RNA, 24 nt
Filed under: Arabidopsis thaliana (thale cress)
Lineage: Eukaryota; Viridiplantae; Streptophyta; Magnoliopsida; Brassicales; Brassicaceae
Description: snRNA_09657
Source: RNAcentral
AGGUAUAAAGAAGGAGGGUGUGUU